CCCUUAGACGUUCUGGGCCGCACGCGCGCUACACUGACCAGUGCAACAAGCAUCCGUCCUUGGCCGACAGGCCCGGGCAAUCUUUGAACGCUGGUCGUGAUGGGGAUAGACUUUUGCAAUUUUUGGUCUUCAACGAGGAAUUCCUAGUAAACGCAAGUCAUCAACUUGCAUUGAUCACGUCCCUGCCCUUUGUACACACCGCCCGUCGCACCUACCGAUUGAAUGGUCCGGUGAAGCCUCCGGAUUGGCGCGCACCUCGGUGCCGCCGAGAAGUUGGCUAAACCUUACCAUUUAGAGGAAGGUGAAGUCGUANCA
Molecule: ribosomal RNA, 315 nt
Filed under: uncultured eukaryote
Lineage: Eukaryota
Description: partial 18S ribosomal RNA
Rfam family: Eukaryotic small subunit ribosomal RNA
Source: RNAcentral